UUUUAUUAGUAUAAAUAGAGUAUAUUUGUUUUCCAAACAAAUGGUUUAAUAAUAUUAAAUAAAG
RNAcentral lists this transfer RNA (64 nucleotides) under Sepioloidea lineolata. RNAcentral's name for it is "tRNA-Gly". Lineage: Eukaryota; Metazoa; Mollusca; Cephalopoda; Sepiida; Sepiadariidae. The record is from RNAcentral.